Monomorium pharaonis (pharaoh ant) is the source of this 6082-nucleotide RNA transcript. RefSeq lists it as uncharacterized. The transcript is spliced from 6 exons. NCBI's taxonomy places the organism in Eukaryota, Metazoa, Arthropoda, Insecta, Hymenoptera, Formicidae. The record is from RefSeq and is a predicted model, not a curated record.
UUUACAGUCGUUCGCUGUCCUCGUCGCUCAUUGUGGCGUAAGUAGUGCCAUUAGAAAAAAAGAGAAUAGUUUGUAAUAAGUAUCGCGGCCCUUAUAACUUAUUCAUUUCUCAUCAGCGUUAUUGCGUUAAGCUCCGUGGCUUGCUCGUUUUGCACGCGAUGAAAUGAUGUCGUUCCCCGUUGUUGAUUCUCCCCCACUCUCCCUUUGUCCGUUCGCAAGAUGACACUCGCAUCUUCCGCGACGAGAGUCCGUCCGUCGACCAGGUGGACCAGCGUUCGCGCGGCCGUUGACACGAUCGCGAGGUGCGACGUACAAUAUCCUCUCGGAUCCGCGCGAGCGGAUUCCCCCUCGGGGGUGGCGCGAGAGGGAAGGAGGGCGGGUGCGCGAGAUCCGCUUUUUCCAUCGAUCCCGAUUACCCAAUGAUCGAGAGGCACGUAAUAAUCGCCGGAAAUUGUAUCAUAGUCGGGCUCUGUGGAUUAUUUCAAGAUUAACGAUGAAAGGUCAGAUACGAUUUACUUUUGCACAAUGCAGUUUCGAGCUGAUAUAGAAGGAAUGCGUAUCUAGAAAAUCUUAUCUUCGAAUUUGAUGACUCGUCAGUUUUAAUCUUAACAGUUUUAUGCCUGCUGCAGAAUGACUUCAUUGGCGUCUGCUUCGUAUAAGUGUUUCAAGAACAAGGAAACGACGAGGUUAUGACGAGGAAAGCUCGGGGACGAUUGGUUUUCGCGUAAUACAAGGUUUCAGAUACUGCUCAAGAAACGCGGCGUGUUUGAUAAUAAUGAUUUAAUUUCAAUGUCCGCGGAAAAUAAUUGGUUCGUUCUUGUUAGUUGAACUUGUUGCAAGCCUCGUCUUUUCUCUUUUCCUUUCUUUUUGACCUACGACGGAGAGAGAAACAGAUGAAUCAUUGGAAUUUGCUAUAAAGAAAUACGAGCUUAUUUAAGGGAGUUUCUCUGCUCAGCGCCUGGUACAACAAGUGGCACAGGGUUUCGAGUAAAAAAAAAUAUUCAAACUAUUUUGUUGAAUGUCAAAUGUCUUUUUUUUGCUGCAUAUGGUUUAAAGUUAAUAAUGGUGAAUAUAAGAAAAAAAUCAGCUAUAAUGUACUACAUUCAUUACUGAAAUAAUUUUUUUUUAAAUUGAGAAUAAACAUUUUUCACUAUUAUACCACCCUUACAUAAUUACAUACAACAAUUUGACAUUCAUGUUAUAUCACUAGCACACGUUUACCACACUUACGUGCUGUAUUACUUCGAUUAUUGUAAAUCUUUUCUGUCUUAUCAAUUAUUUUACUCAAACGACAAUUGCAUCAUUUUGAAAAUUUAACGGUACUUUUCUGAACAGCUAAGAUGUAUUAACAUAAAGUUUCACUAGCAUCUGUUUAUUACUUCUAUGUUAAACGACGGCAAUAAAUACGACAAUAAAAACUGAAAAAUCCUGAAAAUUCAUCGAUUCCCAUAAAAGCCCAUGUUAAUAAAAUAUUUAAUAUCUAAAUAACUAGUUAGUUCACUUUUCUAAAAGUGUGACAGUCAAUUUAUAUCACUAAUUUGAACUUCACUACAAAGUUUUAUGAAAAUCUGUUCAUUUUGAUUUAGCAGUGGAAUUCCCUUAAGUGAGUUCAACGCUCGUGUUCGGCGAGUUACAUAAAUCUUCUAAAAUAUACAGUGACGAAAAUAAGGAAAGGGACCGUUAUUCCACAAGAUCGAGUUUCUCGAUCUCGAUAUAUCGCGGUGAACGCUCCCGUUGGCGCUCCCCGGUGCCCGCGAAGGGUCCUGAGAACAAAGCGUUACGAUAACCACCGCCGAAGAGAUUUGAAGCCGGCUGGCGGACCGCGGAGUCCGCGUGUGUAUGUGUGUAUUUCCUGAAUGAAAAUCCAUAACCGGACGGGCGACGCAACGCUAUCUCCUUUCAUUCCGGCCAGCACACUUUCAAUUUCGUUUUCUGCAAAAGGUUCCCGGUCGCAACUCGCUGCGCACGGCCAGGGCCUGUGGUGUGCGGGAAAGGUUCUCUCCCGGGUUCCGUGGGGGUUUUACAUCCCACUCUUUCACCGCAUUCACCGCCAUCUGUAAAGGUCGAUCGAGACUGGAGAAUGGGACCAGGACUACCCCCGCCGCCGCCGGUUCUCCAAGUUGAAAAGGAAUAGUAGUGAGAGUCCAAGAGACAGCGGAAGCAAGGGGGUAGGAAUGGGUUUCACGAACGGCUGUCGCGGUUCUUGAGUGGGCUCGCUCGCUCGUCCGUACGUUUGCGCGCGCGUUCGCGCGCGCGGCCACUUUAAUGUGAAAGUAAGUCUUACAGUUGACCGAAAACUGCGUGCCCGUCGUCGUGUUCUCGUCGACUAUUUGCGGCCGACGUGCCAUGCCGUAGCGCGCGCGCUGUUCCGUCCGAUCGUGCGAUGUACACACCCUUAACGUACAGCUUUAAUCGACCGGUACCGCGGUCAGCGCGCUGUAAAAGAAAGAACAAAGGGACGAGAGAGAGAGAGAGAGAGAGAGAGAGAGAGAGAGAGAGAGAGAGAGAGAGAGAGAGAGAGAGAGAGAAAGAAAGUAAAGAAGAAAAUUGAAAAGAAAAAGGGGAGAUCCGCUCUCUGAUCACAUCGCUAAUUAAUUCUCAUAUCGACGCGCGAGUUGACUCAUCGACGUACUCUACACGACUUUCUAUACACUUGUCCUACGACGCUUUUUCGUCGUAAUCAAUCUUCUCGACCGUGUCAGCUGUUCCACACGUUGCGUCCGCACUUCUGAAGGAUUCGAUCUAAAAGACGACGCAUGAGAGUGGUGACGUUAUAGCAUCGAGGCCAUAACAGUAAGCAAGGAAAAAGAGGGAAAGGGAGAAAAAGCGAGGGAUACGUGAAGAUUUCGCGCAGAGAACUGGGCAUCCCUUUUCAAUCGUACAGCGAAUUAUAAAAGUUGGCGACGGUGAAAAAAGGUGAAGCGAAGCCGUUCCGAUUAAAUUCAAUUACAUUUCCUUCUUCGCAGCAGCGCAAACAGUGUUUCACGUGGCAUUUCCGCAUUCUUGUUAUAGUUUUCCGCUUUUGAAAGAGCAGCGGACGGAAGUGCGCGCGAACAUCGAAAUUAUCUUUUCGUCCCGAGCUCAAGAAUUCCAUUUAAAGAUACGGAAAGGUGUGACUGGUGUGACGUAACAAAACGUAACAAUAAAUUUUUCCCGUAUUACUUUCGAGGCUGAAAAUUGGCUGGCGAGACGCGCGUUAACAUUUUCAACGGAUAUGCUCGCCAUGACGCGUCCGUGCGGAAAAGUUUAAAUGUUUCGCGCACGCAUAAGUAUACGCGCGGGGUCCUUGUCCUUGAAGUAAUGCGUGGACGGGUGAAUCUCGCUGCGUAGACGUGUGAUCCCUGUCAUUCAGACGAAUCCUCGCGACACUAUGUAACAAAUUGAUCGGAGUGCACGUGCAACGUAUAGCGCGGAUCGGAAGUUAAAUGUAUAUCCACGAUUCGAAGAGGCUGAACAGAAUGCACGAAAGGAAGGAAGGAAGGAAGGAAGGUCAGAAGCGCACGUCCGCUUUUUGCCGGCCUUCCUGACAUCGGGAGGACUCGAUUGUGAAGUUUCGAACGAAGUUUUCCCUACGUGUACCUGUUCCACGUGUAGCUAUGCGUCUACGCCUUCAAACGUAGUUGAGUCAAUCCGAGGCUCUUUUUUUUAACUGACAAUUCGCAAGAUAUUAAUUAUGAAACGGACGGUGUUCGUUAUCGCGUGCGUUUUGGGCUUCGUCUUAGCGGGAAGUCUUAGGCUACCUCGAACAUCCGCCGAUCAGCGUGGCACGCGUAGCGCAAGUCAUAACAGCACCGGCGGAACAACGCUGCAGAAGUUCACUUUACUCCUCUCGCAAUCUGCAGCAAAAUAGACUGGGAAUCUUAAGCAAGUGACAAGUAAUAUGAAUCCAAAGCUUCAUUCAGUUCCACAUGAGUCUAAUGUCGGAUAAUCUUGGAGCGGUAUACAAUUAGUGACGUGCAUGAGGCUAUUGUCGGGAGAAAUUACGAGAACAAUCGGCAUAAUCGCCUCAAUGUAACCACAACCGAGGCCCCGACGAAACAAAGUAAAAUCGAUCGUCUUGUCGAACAAAUGUAUCCGAUGCUUACCGUCUCUGAAAAGAUGGACCAAGUUUGGAAUGUAGUGAUGGGGACGAAAAGCUCAGUGGACGACCUAUUGUCAAAAUCCGACGAAUUACUUACUCAGGCUCAGAGGCAGGAGAGAGCGAUCAGCGGGAUUUACGCCGAUCUAAGAUCCAAAACAAAUAAGAUCAUCGAAAAUCUUGAGGGGCGUCGAAAGCCGCUUGAGGCAGCAAGAGGACGAUGUGGCCACUCUCGCGCAACGCUCGAUUCCGGCUGAAUUGUUACUGGAUCCGACAAUCGAUCGACUCGUUGAAUAUGAUCCAAGCAGAGAACAUUAAAGGGAAUGCUGGAUCGAGUGAUGGUCACAUUUGAUCGGGGUCGAUAAAGUAGAAUAAUUGGCGAAGCUGGAGAGAUCGAACUCCUCAAGUCCUGCGCGGCCAAUUACAAAACUAAAAAUAAAAUCGUGAAUGUCGAUAAUGUCAACAUUAAUGAUUUUUAUGUUACAUGUAAUAUAUUUCUAUUUUUUUGCAUUACCAUUUGCGGUACUUCAUAUAACAUAUGAAUUAGAAAUACAUAUAAAAAGGUGUCCUAUUCCAAAUGAUCUAUGCGUACAUCAUUUGGUACUAUCAUGCAAUGUAGUAGCCACUUUUCCUUACGUCCAAUACCAUUUUAGGUCAGGACGUAUUGACAACACAUUGCACAUACAUUGCACAUAUUUUUUAAAUCUCUUUUUGUGCUACGCCUAAUAAAAGAGAUAAAAAUUAUUCUUAGCUUAGCUUGUAUUAAAAUAUAAAUUAGUACAUAUACUGUUUAUUUGAAAAAAAAUUCUGUAUAUUGCUCUAAUCAAAUGCAGUCCAAGGAUAUAAUUACAUUUGUAUGCAAUAUUAGAAUUUCAAUUAUGUGUAUUAUAAUGUAUUCAUGUACACCUAAGCGCACGCACAUUAUAAUACAUAUUGUAAUUAUACACUUAUGGACUUAUAACGUUUAAAAUUGUUUUUUUUCACAACAAAUGCUUUUAAUAUUUUGUUGUAAUUAUAAUCAACUUAUGCCUUCGGUAGUAAAUUAAAAAUACCAAGCCUAUGGCAAUCACUUCUGGUAUUCUUUUUUGUAAAUAGCCAGCUCAUGAUUUAUGCCUCUGGCAACAAGUUAAAAAUUAGCUUAUGACAAUUGCUUCUAACACUUUCUUGUACAUGGGUAGCUCACGACAAACGCCUCUGGCAUUUUUAAAAAAUUAAUCAGUUCACGAUUUACGCCUCUGAAUUUUUUAAAAACUAUCCAGCUCACAAUAAACAAAUUUUAUAUGUAAUCACGUUGCAAUAAUUUUAUAUGCUUAUCCUUUUUUACGAAUACAGAUUAGGAAUAAUAUAACGUGCAACUAAACAAUUUAUUAUACAAUUACUAGAACAUUACAAGCGCCCGCGCUAUUUAACUCUUUAUUUUAUGAAAAUAAAUUGCAUUAAUAAUUAUAUACAUAACGAUUUAUACAAAUUAGAGAAAAAAUAGACUUAUGCAAUUAUAUAUGAUCAUAUAUAUAAUUGGCCAUAUAUAUUAUAAUAUAAUAAGAUCCGAAAAAUGGGAUAUGAUCUUAUAUAACCAUGUACUAUUAUAUGUAUUCAAAUAUAAUAUGAUUAGCAAAAAUAAUAAGAUAAACAAGUCAAUAUAUUGAGCUAAUACCAAUUUUCCUAAUACAAUAUAAUUUAUUAAAUUAAAAUAUAUAAUUAUAAACGCUAUUAAAACAACUGUGUUAAAAAAUGUUAAACAAAUUUCAAAACGUUUCGACUAUACAUAGUCCUCUUCAGUCGUGCCAAAUUGCCAAUUUAUAAACAUGAGUAAAAUAACGCAAACGAAAAUAUAAUUUAAGCAGUUAAAAAAUGAUGAGAAUUGAAUAAGCAUAAAAACAAUGCAUAGUCUAUAAAAAUGUGUCAUAAUAAUUAAAACGUAAACGAAUAAAUAAUAUAAUCAAAAAAUAAUAAAAUUUUUUUUAGUAAUUAUGUAGUCAGAAAAUACAGUCAAAAAUCUUGUCG